UAAUUUGAUAUAAUAGUGUAAUCAAUCACCCCUAUUUGGAGAAGCUUGCUGGACAGAGAUAAUGCAUAUUAAUGGUAGACUUUGCUUUUGUAUCUGAUCUCCCUCACUUUUUGUGUUUCUAAGUUCUCAAAGAAGUCAGAUGGACACAUUAAAGACCAAAGGCUGGGGGGAAGAGCAAAAUCACGGAGUCAAAACAACUCAGUUUGUUCCAAAACAAUAUAGACUUGUUGAAACAAGGGGACCUCUAUGUUCAUUGAGAAGUGAAAAGAGGUGUUCAAAGGGGAAAAUUACUGAUACAGAGAAGAUGGUCGGAAUCAGAUUUGAAAAUGAAAGUAGGAGGGGAUACCAACUGGAGCCUGACCUAUCAGAAGAAGUGUCGGCCCGACUCCGCCUGGGCAGUGGAAGUAAUGGCUUACUCAGGAGGAAAGUGUCAAUAAUUGAGACAAAGGAAAAGACUUGCUCUGGCAAAGAGAGGGACAGAAGAACGGACGAUCUCCUUGAACUUACAGAGGACAUGGAAAAGGAAAUCAGUAAUGCCCUA
Molecule: small RNA, 541 nt
Filed under: Pan troglodytes (chimpanzee)
Lineage: Eukaryota; Metazoa; Chordata; Mammalia; Primates; Hominidae
Description: retained intron
Source: RNAcentral